CGGGUUGUUGCUGGCCCCCAAACCGGGCACGUGCACGCCCUGUUUACGCAUCCACUCACACCUGUGCACCCUCUGUAGUUCUGUGGACCGGGAGACGUCGUCUUCCUUCCGUGGCUCUACGUCUUUACACACACGCCGUAGCGAAGUCUCAUGGAAUGUUUUUCGCGUUUAACGCAAUACAAUACAACUUUCAGCAACGGAUCUCUUGGCUCUCGCAUCGAUGAAGAACGCAGCGAAAUGCGAUAAGUAAUGUGAAUUGCAGAAUUCAGUGAAUCAUCGAAUCUUUGAACGCACCUUGCGCCCCUUGGUUAUUCCUCGGGGCAUGCCUGUUUGAGUAUCAUGAACACCUCAACUCUCGUGGUCUUCCAUGAUGAGCUUGGACUUUGGGGGUUUGCUGGCCCUGUGGCCGGCUCCUCUCAAACGAAUCAGCUUGCCAGUGUUUGGCGGCGUCACGGGUGUGAUAACCAUCUACGCUUGCGAUCGCCUGCCAGAUAACCCUCAGCGAUGAAGGUUCAUUGGGGCUCACAAAAGUCUCUCCACGGCGAGGACAAAUUUUGAAUGUUCGAUCUCAAAUCAGGUAGGACUACCCGCUGAACUUAAGCAUAUCAAUAAGCGGAGGAAAAGAAACUAACAAGGAUUCCCCUAGUAACUGCGAGUGAAGCGGGAAGAGCUCAAAUUUAAAAUCUGGCGUGCCUCCGGUCGUCCGAAUUGUAGUCUGGAGAAGCGUUUUCCGUGCUGGA
Molecule: ribosomal RNA, 740 nt
Filed under: uncultured Tomentella
Lineage: Eukaryota; Fungi; Basidiomycota; Agaricomycetes; Thelephorales; Thelephoraceae
Description: eukaryotic LSU rRNA
Rfam family: 5.8S ribosomal RNA (bases 186-340)
Source: RNAcentral